GACGUAGGGGGCCAGCGUUGCUCGGAAUUACUGAGCGUAAAGGGUUCGUAGGCGGUGUGGCAAGUCGGGAGUGAAAUCUCUGGGCUUAACCCAGAGGCUGCUUCCGAAACUGCCGUGCUAGAGUGCGGGAGAGGCGAGUGGAAUUGCAGGUGUAGCGGUGAAAUGCGUAGAUAUCAGGAGGAACACCAAUGGCGAAGGCAGCUCGCUGGGACGGUACUGACGCUGAGACGCGAAAGCGUGGGGAGCAAACAGG
This 253-nucleotide ribosomal RNA is filed under the name uncultured bacterium. Its description in RNAcentral is "partial 16S ribosomal RNA". It matches the Rfam family "Bacterial small subunit ribosomal RNA", at positions 524 to 776 of the family's 1533-position model. The record is from RNAcentral.